GACACGGAACGGGGCUGGCUCAGGUCGCCUUCUUUCACCUUGUUUUGGACCGGGUGAAAAUCCUAGCCCCCAAUGCACGCCUCCUCCUCCUCUCCCAUCCCCAAUCAGCACCUCCUUCCUCCUUCCCCAAUCCUCUCCUCCUCCUCCCGGCCAGCGCCAUGGAGGCCAUGUGCUCCGACUCCGGUCCCCGUUUGGCGCGUCGAGGGCGGCGACCGCUGAGCCACCCCGGUCUGACCACCGGACACUCGGGACGGAGCGGCGCGGCGACACCGGACGCUCAGGACGGAGCGGCGCGGCGACCAGGCCGGCGCAGUGCCGGGAGGCGCGAUGACGGCGGUUCUGGGCAGGAGAGGAGGAGGUGCGACGACGGCAUGGUGGAGAUCGAGGCGGCGGCUCGGGGAGGACAGGAAGAGGUGCAGGAGAGAGAAAACGAAUCAGGAGGCAGGGAUUGGUGGUUGAGUUUGUAGAUCGACGGCUUACUUAUCCCAUGCUCUCACCGUCGUCGAUCCAGCCGCCUCCUGAGUCUCUCCGUCAUGGCGCGAGUGAGCUCCAGAUCGAGCGGGGGCGGCCGUGAGCGGCCGCGGCGUGCUCCGGCUCAGGGAAGAGGAGGCCGGCGCGAGCUCGGGAAGGGCGGGCGCAGGCGGGCGGGCUUGGUUGGGCGCGGCGAGCUCCGGCUCCGUCUCAUGGGGCAGGUGGAGCAGCACGACGCCGGGGCUCCAGCUCGUGGAGAAGAGCCGGUAGACAGAGGACGGCGAGCGACGACGCGGAGGUACGUGUGGCGUCAGGACAAGCAAGCGAGGGAUGACCAAGCCAGAUCCACCUUCAGGUUUGUGCAGAGGCAACAGCAACACAUGUUUGACAUAAUCAACCUGUAGAUUUGGUACUAUAUUGGUUUGAAGAUUGUGUCGGAUCCACAAGAGAGGCAAAAUAUGGAGUGGAAACUACAGUCCAGACACUGCAGGCUUUGAAAGAUUUGGAUGGAGCACAGAUCGGGAUGCUCCCGUUCAUCUUUGGUUUGUUCCGAGCGCAUCGCAGUGCCUAGCUCCACCUGUCUACCUACUUCCUCGUUGUUCUCCUGCUUGCAGGAUCCCAUCUUGAUUUCCGAUCUCAUUAGAUAAGAGUCACAUGAGGGUGAUUUGAGCAAAGAGUUGAUGUCCCUUGAUGUUGUAUGCGAUGUGCAGCUGCAGAGGUUCAGUCCAUGCAUCUUCUGCAAGGUAAAAUUGUACAUGGUAAUAUGGUGUAUAAUCCAGAUGGUGCCAUACAAGCUAUCAUUUGUAUUUGUUCAUGGGGAGCCUUUUGUUGCAGAGUAUGCUCGUAUCCGACCAUCAGCUUGUGAAGGGAUCAUAAUAUAUGCCACCUCUCUAUACUGAACACGAUUGGAUUCUGAUGUAUCCUAGCAAUACUCCUCCCUACCCUCCUCUCACUUGUUCAGGAGAAAAAGGGGAUGUAUACAAGGGCUGCUUCUUCCACCGAAUCAUCAAAGGAUUUCAUGAUUCAGGGUGGGGAUUUUGCAGGAAAACAAUGUCUGAAGAGCAUUAGUGGCCUUUGUUCAGCUUUUUCUCUUCAUCUAUUCGGCAGCCGCUGUUGGUGGACAACGGCGGCCUCAGGUGGUGCAUGGUGGGUCCUGCCAAGUCACCGACACGAUUUCUCCCACGCAGGUGACUGGCAGCUGGGCAACGCCGCGGCCAUUGAGCCGAAGGUGGCUGAGCGCCAGAGCUCCCAGCUUAGGAAGACGACGCGACGGGAUGGCGCAGCACCACGGCCUUUAGCACCCUUGCCGUUAGCAGCCUGCCCCUGUCAUAAGUCCUCUCGCGACCUAUUGGUUCUUCUGGACGAGAUGGUCAUCUUGCUAGGUUUCGGAGCCCUGUGGGCCUCUUCGCUACUCGUCCUCGUCACCCUCUCUGCACCAGCAUCUCGCUUCCUUCUUGCUUCCAGUCAGGAUGGGAGGCUUCUAUUUAGGAGGCGCUCAUGGUACUAGGUCUCCAUAGACCUAGCUGUUUCAGAAUGGGAACAAGGGAACCAUUGGCUUCAGUCUUUCGUAAGAAUGGCCUUUGUGGAGCGCAUCUUGGAAGAGGUGGAGGCGUGCGGAUCGAGCCGGAUGGGGUGGCCACCGUGGCACGCGGACGAAGGAGGAGCUCAAGGAGCAUGUCCCAGAAGAGGGCGUCAGCGGUGGCACGCCAAUCGACUCCACCGCAUCCUGGGCCUCGAGAUCUUCUCCGGCAAGACCAGGGGAGCUUCCAUGGCAAGAAACAUGGUCAAUGACUCCAGGGUGACGUGGAGCUCCAGGCCAAGGUAACGAGCAAAUUCUUCUUCGAGGUUGAGAUCGGCGGGAAGCGCGUGGGCAAGGUGGUCAUCGGGCUCUUCGGCGAGGUCGUCCCAAAGAUGAUUGACAACUUCCGUGCCCUGUGCACUGGAGAAAAAGGGGAUGUAUACAAGGGCUGCUUCUUCCACCGAAUCAUCAAAGGAUUUCAUGAUUCAAGGUGGGGAUUUUGCAGGAAAACAAUGUAAGAACUAUACACCAUGUGAACUAGCCAGUUUACUUCAUUCCUACUCCUCCUUACUAUACAACGUAUAUCAAUUUGAGGAAGAAUAAAUUGUCAGGUUCCCCGUUGUUUCAGAUGGUACUUUAUGCAACAUUUAUCCAUUGC
Lolium perenne is the source of this 2648-nucleotide non-coding RNA. The record is from RefSeq and is a predicted model, not a curated record. NCBI's taxonomy places the organism in Eukaryota, Viridiplantae, Streptophyta, Magnoliopsida, Poales, Poaceae.